CAGGCUAACACAUGCAAGUCGAGGGCAUCGGGAGUAGCAAUACUGCCGGCGACCGGCGCAAGGGUGCGUAACGCGUGAGCAACAUGCCCGUAUCAGGGGGAUAAUCCAUGGAAACGUGGUCUAAUACCCCAUAGUAAUUAUGUAAGGCAUCUUAUAUAAUUUAAAGCUUUGGUGGAUACGGAUUGGCUCGCGUGACAUUAGCUGGAUGGUAAGGUAACGGCUCACCAUGGCUACGAUGUCUAGGGGUUCUGAGAGGAAGGUCCCCCACACUGGAACUGAGACACGGUCCAGACUCCUACGGGAGGCAGCAGUGAGGAAUAUUGGACAAUGGAUGGAAAUCUGAUCCAGCCAUGCCGCGUGCAGGAAGAACCGGCCCUAUGGGUUGUAAACUGCUUUUGUAUGGGAGCAAUAAGGGCUACGUGUAGUCCGAUGAGAGUACCAUACGAAUAAGCACCGGCUAACUCCGUGCCAGCAGCAGC
This 479-nucleotide ribosomal RNA is filed under the name uncultured bacterium. Its description in RNAcentral is "bacterial SSU rRNA". It matches the Rfam family "Bacterial small subunit ribosomal RNA", at positions 43 to 518 of the family's 1533-position model. The record is from RNAcentral.